UACGUAGGGUGCAAGCGUUGUCCGGAAUUAUUGGGCGUAAAGAGCUCGUAGGCGGUCUGUCGCGUCGGCUGUGAAAACCCGGGGCUCAACCCCGGGCCUGCAGUCGAUACGGGCAGACUAGAGUGCGGUAGGGGAGACUGGAAUUCCUGGUGUAGCGGUGAAAUGCGCAGAUAUCAGGAGGAACACCGGUGGCGAAGGCGGGUCUUUGGGCCGUAACUGACGCUCAUGCACGAAAGCGUGGGGAGCAAACAGG
This 253-nucleotide ribosomal RNA is filed under the name uncultured bacterium. RNAcentral's name for it is "partial 16S ribosomal RNA". It matches the Rfam family "Bacterial small subunit ribosomal RNA", at positions 524 to 776 of the family's 1533-position model. The record is from RNAcentral.